UUCCCGCGGAUAGCGAUCGCGCGUCGCGCGGCGAUUCGUUCCUUUUGUCUCGUCGAAAUUCAUUUGGGCCGUGUGCAUUCAUAGGUAUUCGACCGUGUUUGUCCGAUCCUGUGUUCUAUAUUUGACUUGAAUGCUGAUUCGAAUUAUCAUUUUCUGAUGGAAUGGUCGUAACGUCCCUGGUUGAUUACUUCAGGUACGGGUGCCAAUAUUGAUUCUUUUGUCUCGUCACAAUGGCAUUUCGAUCUCGAUCAUGCAAAACUUCGUAAUUCUCGCGCGUCAGUACCGAGUAUACCGAGUAACAAAGUCAAUGGUUUUUGCAGGACGCUCAUUCUUCUACCCAAAAUUCAAGCGCGGUAACAGUGGACUUCUAUAAUUACACCGAAGCGUAGAUAAACAUGUCCUUCGGCCACCCAGCGGCAAUAGCGGCGUACCAACGACGUAGGAUCGUAAACAGGUUUUCAUCAAUGAAACGGAUAUAACCAGAAGGUCCAUAGAAUCGGACGUGGAGUUACGUAUAUUUGUAAUCUCGAGUCUCAAGCCAACACAAUGCGUGUGUGUACCAAGUACAUACAAAGAUUGUUGUGGCGAGUAUUGAAGAUCGGCACGAAACAACGAUGAAGCCGCUAUUCCGUCGCGUUGUUCUCCUUUUAUAGUGGAGUUAGCAACAGAACGAAUGCAAUUUAACGUUACGUGUUUGUGGCCUCAAGUUUCAAGAUAACGUGAUGUUGCUUGGAUGCAACUGACAAUGAGUGCAGAGGUUGUUGCAGUAAUCAGCAUCGGAGAUACAGUAACCAGCGCGGAUCAAUGACGCAGUCACUAUGCCAUCCCGCUGUCACCAUUGUGAUAUCAUCGUAGUUUUGUGGCUGAUUGUGAGUAACUCCGUUCGUUGCGCAUCGGUCGGUGAGUCAGUAAUACAUUUUCUCAUUAUAUUUGCAUGUUUUUCAAAUGUCCUGCGCAGGAUCAAGGCAUAAUGUUAUCGCGCGAUUGUAUUCGUAUUUUCGCGAGUGAGUGAGUGAGUGAGUUAAUCUGAAGAAGAGGAAGAAGACUGGAAGACAACCUUGGGGUGAGUAAUAUUUGUAACAUAUGUACAGGAUGUAUAUAUAACCUAUCCAUACUGCUCAAUGGAUAUCGUAUGUUACAGAUAUUCCUCGGAGUGAGAAUUGACGAGAGGAAGCCAACGUUUAUCGUCGUCGAAAUAUUGUGAAACAAACGAACCGCAGCCGGUUCGUCGCGUCGCGCGUUUGUCUCGGGAGUGCCGUAUAAAUACUGGACUUAUAUAGACAUUUUUCAUAACUCCCAUUUGAUAAAAAAAAUCCUAAUUCGAGGGUCGGGAAUCGCACCCCCGCUGCUUGGCAAUGAAUAUUCUUACUAGGGCGUUGCGCAUGGUGGGCGUGCGCGCCGCACCGCGACGUUCCAUGCCGAGUGCCCGUGCACGAGGUAAUGCCGAGCCGCAUGUAUGACAUGCCCCGUGUGCAUGUUGCGCGGCUGUCUGGUUGUGUGAGGUUUACACGCUCUGUCUCCGGCGAUCGGUUUGGUCCUAAGCGGUAAGAAUUCGGAUCAGUUGCCUUGGAUUCGCGCGUUUCUCUUGCUCUCGUCCACCCUAAGGCUUUCUUAGAUCCUUGAUACUCUUUUUGGAUUCUUUGGAUCUGGGGUUCGAGCUAGGUGAAUCACGUUUAAUCUGACUUGGUCAGAACUUGGCCUUGUAGGUUAAGCUUGUGACGAGAGGCUGGCUCUCAUUUCCUGAUUCGUUUAAAAUGCUAGACGUCGGCAAUGAGUACCUUCUUCUCUCGUCCUGCCGGAGUGUCUUGUCGACGCCGCUUGGAUAUAAGAUCCGGUGGGACUGAUUAAGAUGAUCCGUUGGCUGGGCGUAUGAACGAGUCAAUUUUAGACGUGAUUUUUGUGAGACAAGAGGCGUAGGAAUUCAAUACCAUUGAUUUCGUUUUCUUCCGCGUGGGGCUUACCCUUGUUCGGGGGUGGGUACGCGUGCGUUCUACUCGCCGACGCGGGGUGCUGAAUCCACGGGAAUCCCUGUGAAUGGGAACUCAUGUCAUGGGUUUUAUAAACCCGAAGUGCCGCAGUGUCGCGCGAAAAACUUUAUAAAUAAUAAGUCCACGCGCGCAAAUUUAGUAUUAUUCGCGAGUGUCCCGCGUGUACAACAAGUGGAAGAGGACAACCUUGAGGACACUGAGAGGAGGAGCAGGCCUGGGAAAGGCAUCGGGCCCCAGCGGAGCAACCUUGGGGUAAAUAUAAUUUCUUAUUUAUAUGAAUUUAAUAAUCUUUCUCCCUUUCUUUUAAUGUUAGCGCUGUAAACUAAAAAAAGCUACUUAAAGAAAAUUUAUAUAAAAUUUUAUACACACCUAGAAAAAAAAAACAUUUCAAUUGAUGAAAUCGUUUCUUUAACAUGAUUCUUUUAAGUUGAAAUGAAAAUACCUUUGCGGAAAAUAAAAAUUUAUUUGAUUUUAAGAAAUGACGUUAUUAGUCUUUUUAAGAGUAAAUAAAUUAUUUGUUCAUAUUAUUUGUUUAAUGCAAACAAAUAACUAUUUAAUCAACAAAUGUUUUCGAGUCAAAGAAAAUUUCUUUAACCAUACAGCAGUGCAAAAAUUUCUUUGAGUCAAACAAAUAUUUUUUAACUUAAAUAAACCGUUCUGGGUGGAUAAGAAUUAACUUUUGAAAUAUUGAUUAUUGCGAGCGCAAUUUUAAUUUUUAAAUCUUAUGUUUGUGUGUUAAAGUAUCGUCGUAGCUUCGUGGCUGAGUAACUUCGCUCGUUGCGCAUCGGUCGGUGAGUCAGUAAUAAAUUUUCUCAUUAUAUUUGCAUGCUUUUCAAAUGUCCUGCGCAGGAUCAAAGCAUAAUGUUAUCGCGCAAUCGUAUUCAUAUUUUCGCGGGUGAGUGAGUUAAUCUGAAGAGGAAGAGAAAGAAGACUAGAAGACAAUCUUGGGGUAAGUAAUAUUUGUAACAUGUACAGAAUGUAUAUACAUAUAAGAUAUCCAUACUAAUCAAUGGAUAUUGUAUGUUACAGAUAUUUCUCGGGGUGAGAAUUGACGAGAGGAUUAAAGGAAAAUUACAUUAUUAGCCCCUCAA
Solenopsis invicta (red fire ant) is the source of this 3079-nucleotide long non-coding RNA. RefSeq lists it as uncharacterized. The record is from RefSeq and is a predicted model, not a curated record. The transcript is spliced from 4 exons. NCBI's taxonomy places the organism in Eukaryota, Metazoa, Arthropoda, Insecta, Hymenoptera, Formicidae.